AAAUUCAUGGUUUCUCACCAGGGAGAUCUGCAGCAGUUGGAAACUCACAUGGUGUGUGGGGGCAAAAUGGUGCUGCGUGCUUGCAGACUGAGGAGCGGGUAAGACUGGUGAAGUCAUCUCACCCCAUCCCUUGGGAAGAGUUCUCUUUGAUGUUGUGGUUUCUAGAAGUUCUCCUAGGGCAUUUUCAUCUGUCCCAGCUGAGCAGGUUCCACUUUCCCUGAGGAGCUGUCAUGCCAGCAGAAGGCAUCUGCUCACCCGGUACCUUCAGGCUGAAAUGGAGGAACAUGCACAGGAGUGAUUCCCUUGUUCUGGUGGUAAGAACAACGGAGCAUAAGUGGUUUUGUUCUCCACCUACAUUACAGGUCUCAGAAGAACAGAGACCAGCUGUAUUCUUGUUCUGGCAAUGAAAGUGAGAUGAACUAGAGCAAAAGAAGGACAGAAAGGGGAUUGCUGCCUUCUCCUGCAUGUUUUCAGAUCUGCAGUCAGCUCAGCCUGUGACCCAAGGCAAUGUGUGAGACCAUUCCGUUGCGGCAAAUAGUCCAUGUUUGCCAAUCUUUAGAAGUUCCCACAAAGCCCAUUGCCGAGAAAAGAGGUAUGCUGGCUGGCUGCCUAGGUAUUUGUACUGUUUCUGGGUUACUGUGCAUUUGCAGCGGCAUUAUGGGAGCAGUUAAUUACAAUAAUUUGUUUGUCUAAAACCUCUUCUAUAUGCCUAGAUCUAAACAUAGGAGUUUCAUAAGUCAUCAAAACUAAAUAACUCAAGAACAAACAAACAUGAAUUAUAAUUGAGUUUUGAGUCUUCCAGCACUCCCAGGUCACCCUGGGACUUGCCAGUCUUGCCAGUACUUUAACUUGUUCAGCAGCUUUUGUGAGUAACCAACUGGCCGUUGGUGGGGAAGCACUUCUGUGUUUGCUGUUCAGAAUGAGCUGCUCAGGUAGGCUGCGUGUGUGUGGCAGACUGAAUGCAUCACCUUCAGAGGCACAGAAAAGAGGAUCAGGCAUCUGUAAAUGCUGAAAUCUUGAACACCUUCAUAUCAAGCCCAAGCUUUGGAAUACAUUAAAUGUUUUCUAUACCAGCCAAGCACCACUAUAGGGCAGAUUGGAAAUCAAGGACUCGGACAUAUUAGUCUCUCAGCCCUUACUGACCUCUAACAAUCCCUUCUCUUAGUAUUUUCUUUGGCGAAUAAUGGGAAUUUCACAACGCAUAGAAAAAGCCAAAUUCAGUCUGUACAGAUUCGGUUUGACAGUAUCCCUUAAAAAAUCACUAAGAAAAAACGUGGAAUGGCAGUGUUGUCAUAUGGCUUUUCAGAUUAAAACUCUAGAUGAUCAAGAGUGGCUGCUCAUUUUUCAGGACCAAAAGUCAGUAA
Neopsephotus bourkii (Bourke's parrot) is the source of this 1364-nucleotide long non-coding RNA. RefSeq lists it as uncharacterized. NCBI's taxonomy places the organism in Eukaryota, Metazoa, Chordata, Aves, Psittaciformes, Psittacidae. The record is from RefSeq and is a predicted model, not a curated record. The transcript has 3 exons.